GGGAUCGACCUCGAACAUGACUUUGACCUCAGGCGUACAUCUAUCCGACUUCACGAUUUCAAUCCCGAGCUUGAGUCUGUCAACUAUUAAGCAUGAGCUGAUUUAUUCAUGUGGUUCAAUGUCCGGUCGGGUUCGCGAUGUUUACUGGGAAUCUCUUGUUAGUUUGCUGAAGUUGUUCUUUCCAAUUUUGCUUUACCGACUUGUCUGAGCUUUUCCUCCG
Molecule: long non-coding RNA, 220 nt
Filed under: Manihot esculenta (cassava)
Lineage: Eukaryota; Viridiplantae; Streptophyta; Magnoliopsida; Malpighiales; Euphorbiaceae
Description: long non-coding RNA (MESC_LNC008083)
Source: RNAcentral